AAGGAUCAUUAUCGAAUAAACUUGAACAGGCUGUUGCUGGCCCCUCACUGAGGGUGCAUGUGCACGCUUGUCAUCUUUAUCAUUUCUCCAACUGUGCACAUAUUGUAGACCUGGAAGCUUUUGAAUUUAUUUUCGAGUUGGGACUGCUGUGCUUUUGGUCAAAGUCAGCUUUGCCUUGAAUUUCCAGGUCUAUGUCAUUUUCACAACCUCUUGAUGCGUUUAGAAUGUACCUAUAAAGUUAAAAUAUACAACUUUCAGCAACGGAUCUCUUGGCUCUC
This 278-nucleotide unclassified non-coding RNA is filed under the name uncultured fungus. RNAcentral describes it as "partial contains 18S rRNA, ITS1, 5.8S rRNA, ITS2 and 28S rRNA". Lineage: Eukaryota; Fungi. The record is from RNAcentral.